UGGGGAAUAUUGGACAAUGGGGGGAACCCUGAUCCAGCCAUGCCGCGUGUGUGAAGAAGGCCUUAUGGUUGUAAAGCACUUUAAGCGAGGAGGAGGGUACUGGUAUUAAUACUACCAGCUACUGGACGUUACUCGCAGAAUAAGCACCGGCUAACUCUGUGCCAGCAGCCGCGGUAAUACAGAGGGUGCAAGCGUUAAUCGGAAUUACUGGGCGUAAAGCGCGCGUAGGUGGUUCGUUAAGUUGAAUGUGAAAGCCCCGGGCUCAACCUGGGAACUGCAUCCAAAACUGGCGAGCUAGAGUAGGGCAGAGAGUGGUGGAAUUUCCUGUGUAGCGGUGAAAUGCGUAGAUAUAGGAAGGAACACCAGUGGCGAAGGCGACCACCUGGGCUCAUACUGACACUGAGGUGCGAAAGCGUGGGGAGCAAACAGG
Molecule: ribosomal RNA, 430 nt
Filed under: Pseudomonadota bacterium
Lineage: Bacteria; Pseudomonadati; Pseudomonadota
Description: Proteobacteria bacterium partial 16S ribosomal RNA
Rfam family: Bacterial small subunit ribosomal RNA
Source: RNAcentral